GACGAACGCUGGCGGCGUGCUUAACACAUGCAAGUCGAACGGAAAGGCCCUGCUUUUGUGGGGUGCUCGAGUGGCGAACGGGUGAGUAACACGUGAGUAACCUGCCCUUGACUUUGGGAUAACUUCAGGAAACUGGGGCUAAUACCGGAUAGGAGCUCCUGCUGCAUGGCGGGGGUUGGAAAGUUUCGGCGGUUGGGGAUGGACUCGCGGCUUAUCAGCUUGUUGGUGGGGUAGUGGCUUACCAAGGCUUUGACGGGUAGCCGGCCUGAGAGGGUGACCGGCCACCUUGGGACUGCGAUACGGCCCAGACUCCUACGGGAGGCAGCAGUGGGGAAUAUUGCCCAAUGGGCGGAAGCCUGAUGCAGCAACGCCGCGUGCGGGAUGACGGCCUUCGGGUUGUAAACCGCUUUCGCCUGUGACGAAGCGUGAGUGACGGUAAUGGGUAAAGAAGCACCGGCUAACUACGUG
This 468-nucleotide ribosomal RNA is filed under the name uncultured bacterium. RNAcentral's name for it is "partial 16S ribosomal RNA". It matches the Rfam family "Bacterial small subunit ribosomal RNA", at positions 28 to 507 of the family's 1533-position model. The record is from RNAcentral.